Molecule: long non-coding RNA, 590 nt
Organism: Balaenoptera ricei (Rice's whale)
Lineage: Eukaryota; Metazoa; Chordata; Mammalia; Artiodactyla; Balaenopteridae
Exons: 3
Source: RefSeq, a predicted model, not a curated record
CAUCUCUGAGCUCAAAUUCCUGCCUCCCAGGGGGGAGCAAGUUGUGAAGAUGAGAUGGCAAGAUGGCAAACAGUGACACAGCUUGACAGAGAGGAUGGACCCUGGCUCUGACACUGGGAUCAUGCCCUCCGUGCCAGGUGCUGGACACAGAGGGCAGGACACAUGGAGAGGCAGUGUUCACAAAGAAUUAGGAAACAAGCCAGACUGUGACGAAAGCUUGCCUUUGAAUGCCCCAGGAUUUCUAGGUGGACCGACACAGAGGUGUUGCAGAGGUGGCAUUUGAGCUGAGCUGGGAUACAGGGGACACGGGUUCGAGCCCUGGUCCAGGAAGAUCCCACAUGCCGCAGAGCAACUGAGCUCGUGUGCCACAACUACUGAUCCUGCACUCUAGAGCCCUCGAGCCACAACUACUGAGCCCUCAAGCCACAACUACUGAACCUGCACAGCACAACUACUGAAGCCUGUGCACCUAAAGCCCGUGCUCCGCAACAAGAGAAGCCACAGCAAUGAGAAGCCCGCGCAACACAACGAAGAGUAGCCCCCACUCGCCUCAACUAGAGAAAGCCCGUGCACAGCAACGAAGACCCAAC